UACGGGGGGGGCAAGCGUUGUUCGGAAUUACUGGGCGUAAAGGGCUUGUAGGUGGCCAACUAAGUCAGACGUGAAAUCCCUCGGCUUAACCGGGGAACUGCGUCUGAUACUGGAUGGCUUGAGUGUGGGAGAGGGAUGCGGAAUUCCAGGUGUAGCGGUGAAAUGCGUAGAUAUCUGGAGGAACACCGGUGGCGAAGGCGGCAUCCUGGACCAAUUCUGACGCUGAUGAGCGAAAGCCAGGGGAGCAAACGGG
This 253-nucleotide ribosomal RNA is filed under the name uncultured bacterium. Its description in RNAcentral is "partial 16S ribosomal RNA". It matches the Rfam family "Bacterial small subunit ribosomal RNA", at positions 524 to 776 of the family's 1533-position model. The record is from RNAcentral.